GCAGGCACUGUUCCAGCAGGUAAUGUUCCAGCAGGUAAUGUUACAGCAGGUAAUGUUCCAGUAAGCACUGUUCCAGCAGGCACUGUUCCAGCAGGUAAUGUUCCAGCAGGCACUGUUCCAGCAGGCACUGUUCCAGCAGGUAAUGUUCCAGCAUGCACUGUUCCAGCAGGUAAUGUUCCAGCAGGUAAUGUUCCAGCAGGUAAUCCCGCACUACGGCCUUCCGGAGGAUAUCCUCUCCGAUCUCCAAUUCACAUCACGUGUAUGGAGAAGCUGGGGUGUCACAGUCAGUCUCAUUUCCGGGUAGGUGGAAAGGAUGAACCAGGAACUGGGGAUGUUCCUGAGUAACCACUGCCAGGACCUGCAGGGGAGUGGGCCAGAUUACUUCCUUGGGCUGAAUACGCCCAGAAUUAAUUUCAACACUCCUCCACCAGGCUGACUCCCUUUCAGUGUGUUCUGGGUAAUAAACCAGCCCUGGCUCUGUGGAUUCCGAACCAGACCGAAGCUCCUGCGGUGGACGAGUGGUUCAGGCAGAAGGCGUUUGGAAAGAUGCCAACGUGAGAGUCCAGUGCGUCGUCAGAAAGAGCAGCGAGGCUCCCGUGUUCCGUCCUGGCCCGGUCGGUGUCGUCCUGAGUCUGGAGCCGCUCGUUGGGAGUGGGGUAAUGUUACGUCUACUCCCAUUCUCCCGCUCCAGCGCUCGAUGUCACCGGUCUACUAACCACCGGUCCUGGCAGGCAAUCUUUAAGCACACCUGGCAACCAUGAUUACCUACAGCUGGCAACCAUCAUUACCCACCCCUGGCAACCAUGAUUACUCACACCUGGCAACCAUCAUUACACACGCCUGGCAACCAUGAUUACUCACACCUGGCAACCAUCAUUACACACGCCUGGCAACCAUGAUUACUCACAUCUGAGCCCUAUCAUCAGUCACACCUGGCAACCAUGAUUACUCACAUCUGAGCCCUAUCAUCAGUCACACCUGGCAACCAUGAUUGCUCACACCUGGGCCCUAUCAUCAGUCACUCCUGGCAACCAUGAUUACUCACACCUGGGCUCUAUCAUCAGUCACACCUGAACUACAUUACUACAUUCAUUACUUAGCAUUUUUCUAGCACUCUGUCCAUCAGGUAGUAUUGUUUAUGUUUCCAUGUCAGACGUUUCUCUUGUUUUGUAUCAUUCCAUGUCAGAUAUCAUUAAACUGACUAACUACA
Molecule: long non-coding RNA, 1210 nt
Organism: Oncorhynchus masou masou (cherry salmon)
Lineage: Eukaryota; Metazoa; Chordata; Actinopteri; Salmoniformes; Salmonidae
Exons: 2
Source: RefSeq, a predicted model, not a curated record